RNAcentral lists this ribosomal RNA (274 nucleotides) under uncultured bacterium. RNAcentral describes it as "partial 16S ribosomal RNA". It matches the Rfam family "Bacterial small subunit ribosomal RNA", at positions 523 to 796 of the family's 1533-position model. The record is from RNAcentral.
AUACGGAGGGUGCAAGCGUUACUCGGAAUCACUGGGCGUAAAGCGCGCGCAGGCGGCUAUUUAAGUUGGAUGUGAAAGCCUAUGGCUCAACCAUAGAACUGCAUCCAAAACUAUUUAGCUAGAGUGUGGGAGAGGAAGAUGGAAUUAGUUGUGUAGGGGUAAAAUCCGUAGAGAUAACUAGGAAUACCAAAAGCGAAGGCAAUCCUCUGGAACACUACUGACGCUGAGGCGCGAAAGCGUGGGGAGCAAACAGGAUUAGAAACCCUUGUAGUCC